AAGUUAGGGGGUGAAAUCCCAGGGGCUCAACCCUGGAACUGCCUCCAAAACUCCCAGUCUAGAGUUCGAGAGAGGUGAGUGGAAUUCCAAGUGUAGAGGUGAAAUUCGUAGAUAUUUGGAGGAACACCAGUGGCGAAGGCGGCUCACUGGCUCGAUACUGAC
RNAcentral lists this ribosomal RNA (162 nucleotides) under uncultured bacterium. Its description in RNAcentral is "partial 16S ribosomal RNA". It matches the Rfam family "Bacterial small subunit ribosomal RNA", at positions 585 to 744 of the family's 1533-position model. The record is from RNAcentral.